This 2921-nucleotide ribosomal RNA is filed under the name Lactiplantibacillus plantarum. Its description in RNAcentral is "23S ribosomal RNA". It matches the Rfam family "Bacterial large subunit ribosomal RNA". RNAcentral also lists the same sequence under 1 other name. Lineage: Bacteria; Bacillati; Bacillota; Bacilli; Lactobacillales; Lactobacillaceae. The record is from RNAcentral.
GGUUAAGUUAACAAGGGCGCAUGGUGAAUGCCUUGGCACUAGGAGCUGAUGAAGGACGGGACUAACACCGAUAUGCUUCGGGGAGCUGUACGUAAGCUAUGAUCCGGAGAUUUCCGAAUGGGGCAACCCAGCAGUUUUAAUCAACUGUUACCACUAGAUGAAUUCAUAGUCUAGUUGGAGGUAAACGCUGUGAACUGAAACAUCUCAUUAGCAGCAGGAAUAUAAAGAAAUUUCGAUUCCCUAAGUAGCGGCGAGCGAACGGGGAACAGCCCAAACCAAAGUGCUUGCACUUUGGGGUUGUAGGACUGAACAUUUGAGUUACCAAAGAACUUGAUAGUCGAAGGAUUUGGGAAAAUCCGCCAUAGAUGGUGAUAGCCCAGUAGAUUAAAUCAAAUUCUCUCAGUUCAGGAUCCUGAGUACGGCGGAACACGUGAAAUUCCGUCGGAAUCCGGGAGGACCAUCUCCCAAGGCUAAAUACUACCUAGUGACCGAUAGUGAACCAGUACCGUGAGGGAAAGGUGAAAAGCACCCCGGGAGGGGAGUGAAAUAGUUCCUGAAACCAUGUGCCUACAAUAAGUCAGAGCGCGUUAAUGCGUGAUGGCGUGCCUUUUGUAGAAUGAACCGGCGAGUUAUGAUCCCGUGCAAGGUUAAGACUAAAAAGUCGGAGCCGUAGCGAAAGCGAGUCUGAAAUGGGCGUUUUGAGUACGAGGUUAUAGACCCGAAACCAGGUGACCUAUCCAUGUCCAGGUUGAAGGUGCGGUAAAACGCACUGGAGGACCGAACCCGUGUAAGUUGAAAAUUGCUGGGAUGAGGUGUGGAUAGCGGUGAAAUUCCAAACGAACUUGGAGAUAGCUGGUUCUCUCCGAAAUAGCUUUAGGGCUAGCCUCGGAAUUAGGAUCAUGGAGGUAGAGCACUAUUUGGACUAGGGGCCCGUCUUGGGUUACUGAAUUCAGAUAAACUCCGAAUGCCAUUGAUUCAUAUCCGGGAGUCAGACGAUGAGUGAUAAGAUCCACCGUCGAAAGGGGAACAGCCCAGACCAUCAGUUAAGGUCCCUAAAUGUAUGCUAAGUGGAAAAGGAUGUGGAGUUGCAUAGACAACUAGGAUGUUGGCUCAGAAGCAGCCACCAUUUAAAGAGUGCGUAAUAGCUCACUAGUCGAGUGAUCCUGCGCCGAAAAUGUACCGGGGCUAAGCAUACUACCGAAACCAUGGAUGCGACCAUUAGGUCGCGUGAUAGGAGAGCGUUCUAAGGGCGGUGAAGCAAGAUCGUGAGGACUUGUGGAGCGCUUAGAAGUGAGAAUGCCGGUAUGAGUAGCGAAAGAUAGGUGAGAAUCCUAUCCACCGAAUGACUAAGGUUUCCUGGGGAAGGCUCGUCCUCCCAGGGUUAGUCGGGACCUAAGUCGAGGCCGAGAGGCGUAGACGAUGGAUAACAGGUUGAGAUUCCUGUACUAGUUAAGUGCGUUUGAGCAAUGGAGGGACGCAGGAGGCUAAGAUGUGCAUUCUGUUGGAUUAGAAUGUCCAAGCAGUAAGUCUUGUGAAGAGUCAAAUGCUUUUCACUUUAAGGACAAGCUGUGAUGGGGAGCGAAAUUUAGUAGCGAAGCGUCUGAUGUCACACUGCCGAGAAAAGCUUCUAGUGAGUACUUAACUACCCGUACCGCAAACCGACACAGGUAGUCGAGGAGAGAAUCCUAAGGUGAGCGAGUGAACUCUCGUUAAGGAACUCGGCAAAAUGACCCCGUAACUUCGGGAGAAGGGGUGCUGAUCGCAAGAUCAGCCGCAGUGAAUAGGCCCAGGCGACUGUUUAUCAAAAACACAGGUCUCUGCAAAAUCGUAAGAUGACGUAUAGGGGCUGACGCCUGCCCGGUGCUGGAAGGUUAAAAGGAUGGGUUAGCUUCGGCGAAGCUCAGAAUUGAAGCCCCAGUAAACGGCGGCCGUAACUAUAACGGUCCUAAGGUAGCGAAAUUCCUUGUCGGGUAAGUUCCGACCCGCACGAAAGGCGUAACGAUCUGGGCACUGUCUCAACGAGAGACUCGGUGAAAUUAUAUUGUCCGUGAAGAUGCGGACUACCCGCGACAGGACGGAAAGACCCCAUGGAGCUUUACUGUAGCUUGAUAUUGAGUGUUUGUACAGCUUGUACAGGAUAGGUAGGAGCCAUAGAAACCGGAACGCUAGUUUCGGUGGAGGCGUUGGUGGGAUACUACCCUCGCUGUAUGACCACUCUAACCCGCACCACUAAUCGUGGUGGGAGACAGUGUCAGGUGGGCAGUUUGACUGGGGCGGUCGCCUCCUAAAAAGUAACGGAGGCGCCCAAAGGUUCCCUCAGAAUGGUUGGAAAUCAUUCGCAGAGUGUAAAGGCACAAGGGAGCUUGACUGCGAGACAGACAGGUCGAGCAGGGACGAAAGUCGGGCUUAGUGAUCCGGUGGUACCGUAUGGAAGGGCCAUCGCUCAACGGAUAAAAGCUACCCUGGGGAUAACAGGCUUAUCUCCCCCAAGAGUCCACAUCGACGGGGAGGUUUGGCACCUCGAUGUCGGCUCAUCGCAUCCUGGGGCUGUAGUCGGUCCCAAGGGUUGGGCUGUUCGCCCAUUAAAGCGGUACGCGAGCUGGGUUCAGAACGUCGUGAGACAGUUCGGUCCCUAUCCGUCGCGGGCGUAGGAAAUUUGAGAGGACCUGUCCUUAGUACGAGAGGACCGGGAUGGACAUACCUCUGGUGUACCAGUUGUGCCGCCAGGCGCAUCGCUGGGUAGCUACGUAUGGAUGUGAUAAACGCUGAAAGCAUCUAAGUGUGAAACACACCUCGAGAUGAGAUUUCCCAUUCCUUUAUGGAAGUAAGACCCCUGAAAGAUGAUCAGGUAGAUAGGUUAGAAGUGGCAGUGCGGUGACGCAUGAAGCGGACUAAUACUAAUCGGUCGAGGACUUAACCAA